Molecule: ribosomal RNA, 305 nt
Filed under: uncultured bacterium
Lineage: Bacteria
Description: bacterial SSU rRNA
Rfam family: Bacterial small subunit ribosomal RNA
Source: RNAcentral
AACCUAGGGACGCAGCAGUAGGGAAUCUUCUACAAUGGGCGAAAGCCUGAUGGAGCAACGCCGCGUGGGUGAAGAAGGUCUUCGGAUCGUAAAACCCUGUUGUUAGAGAAGAAAGUGCGUGAGAGUAACUGUUCACAUUUCGACGGUAUCUAACCAGAAAGCCACGACUAACUACGUGCCAGCAGCCGCGGUAAUACGUAGGUGGCAAGCGUUAUCCGGAUUUAUUGGGCGUAAAGGGAACGCAGGCGGUCUUUUAAGUCUGAUGUGAAAGCCUUCGGCUUAACCGGAGUAGUGCAUUGGGAACU